This is a non-coding RNA of Paramormyrops kingsleyae, 4153 nucleotides long. The record is from RefSeq and is a predicted model, not a curated record. NCBI's taxonomy places the organism in Eukaryota, Metazoa, Chordata, Actinopteri, Osteoglossiformes, Mormyridae.
UCCCUGACCCAUAAUACUUCAGCUGAUUUGGACUCACUCACUCGUAAUAUUUAUUUUAACAUCACUUUGGCAUGUGUGCGUACUAGUUUAACUAGUAACUUUUUCUACAAUGUUGGUAACCAGCUGAAAGUCGGCAGUAAUACUGGCAGAAUUUUGGGCUUUACGUCAUGUUCGUAUCUUAAUUACUAGUAAUUUUUUUUUGAUCAUUUAAACUGACCUAGACAUAUUGGUCAACUGACAGAUGUUGCUUUGUCACAUGUUCCUUAAGCACUUCUCAAUCAUGUAUGUAAAUUAUGGGGUGGAUGGGGGGUUGUAACCCCGAACCCCAAUGAUCAAAACCAGCCAACACAACCCCAGGACCCCCUUAAAUGGGUGGCGACCUGAACCCAAAAGUACUCAACACUAAUGUCAUGUAACAUUGUAAAUGUAGAAAGGGCCUGUCACAGCAGCUGAUGAGCUGUAAAUGUCAUCCUGUAUACAUUUUGUAUUAGAAUGUUUACUCUAUUGAAAUAAUGGAACCACUGUGUUAUGGAGGCACAAUGAUGCCUAGCUUUAACUACUGACCUAAGGUUUGGAUUGAAUCUGACAAUUACCAUUGCCCAUGGCUGAAUAAGGCCAACUAGGAGCAUAUAGGCCUGGAAUUGCAUUUUUUUAAUUAAAAGUACCAUUGUGGGCCUGUGUAUUUUUUUGCUGCAGUAUAUUUAAUAUUUAACAUGACAUACAUGCUAACGUGAGUAGUAAAUCUGAGUGGAACCCAAAUUAAAUGUAAAGAGUAAUUCAUGAAAAAAUCCAAGCGCACUAUGAUGCGCAGUGAGCUGCUUGGGCGUGUUCCGUGUCGCGCACCGGCCGCUUGUCUGCCGGAAACCAUCAGGCCCAUUUAACCUGGUAGGUGAUGGUGGCUUCGCUUCUCCCCAAAUCUGCUUCAGUCCUCAGACUCCGGUCUGUACUGCCGCAGUGUAAAGGAUGAUGUUUGCCGACAUGAAGCCAUAUUGGAUGAAUUUGCUAUUUCAUAACGCGUGAAUGUGUAGCUGGAGAGAGCGACGAGCUCUCCGCCCGUCAUCUAAGUUCCAAAGAGCGUUUUGAUAUUUUUUAUUAUUUACGUUUUAAUUUUAUGAUGUAAUUUAAUGGUUUACGUAGCGUUUAUUUCGGUUGUUGUGGUAUCUAACGAGCCGUAGCUUCUGCAAGUAUAACAUCGAGUUUUACUAUUUACAUAACAGAUGUCAGUUUGUACAUUUUUUCCAUUUAUUUCCUUCUCCCUGCACGGAAUCUGUUACAAUUUAUUAUGUCUCAUAGUAAACAUAAGUUGAAAACAGACACGCAUAGAAGCAAAGUAAAGGAGGUCGGCUUAACUGAAAAGUGAGAAACAUCAAACCGUGUUUUAUUUAUCGUUUUUAUUAUUUCCAGGGUCGAGUUAGGACUAAAACGGUGAAAGCUGUAUGGGUGUUAAUUGAGAAGAACUACACCCACCUUGUUAACGAUUUCCACGAUUUGCAAUGAGGUCGCCGUAAUCUCCAGGAGGCAGCUGCGCAACAAGAUCGCUGCGAGUGCAAAGCUGGGCGGGGCUGCUGCGCGCGGACUGGUCGCCUGUGAGUGCUUUGGGACGGGAGAGGAGUCCACGGCAGAACCCGCUCACCGGUGAGAAGAGUAAUAACGAUACGUGCUUUCAUGUCAGAGUCUCCAAUAACAUCAGAAAAAGUGACUAUAUUUGUCGCUAGUCGCUUUUUUGAAAAGGAGUCACUAGCGGGCAGUGAUGGGCAGUAACGCGUUACAGUAAUUAGAUUACUUUUUAAGUAACGGAGUAAUCUAACGGCGUUACAUUUUAGAAGGCAGUAAUCAGAUUAUAGUUACUACCCGACUAACGCGUCGUUACUAUUGUGUUGCAUUGAAGACGUCAGAUUAGCCAGUUUUAUGCAAAAAUAAUAAUGAAAUACAGUUGCAAAAAUCAUCAAGCAGCCGCACACGGCGCUACGUAACGUCAUCAAUCCGAGACGCAGCCACACAAACACUGCAGCAUGGAGAGACCACCGGAGGGAGAAAAGGGCGCUUUUUACUCGUGGAAAUACAAACAUUAUUUUAAAUUUGUUGAAACUAAGGGCAAAAACAUAGUUGUACAGUGUGUCUUAUGUGCGGGAGACAAAAGAUUUUCAAACGCUAAGAGUUCGACUUCAAAUCUAUCUAAACAUCUCAAAGGACAACACGGUGCUGUUAGGCUAGUGGAGAAAGCGGGGUCAGUCCCCGACACAGACUCGGAUUCAUCUUUUCCUGCAACUAAACAGCUCAGACUAGACUUUUCAAGUCAAUGCUUCCCAUAUCCACAGUGGACUCGCCGUAUUUUCGCGGUUUAAUCGUCAAAAUACCCACACGGAAUAAUGCACGGCUGCCUCAGAGAAAAACAUUUUCUAACUAUUUAGAUAAGGAAUAUGCUACAAUGGAGGCCAAUCUGAGGGCCGCACUGCAGGCGGUAAACUUUGUGUCGACUACUGCGGACUUUUGGACAUCUCAUAAUAAGAGCUAUAUGGGGGUUACUAUACACUGGUUCAAUCCAUGCACUCUAAGCACUAAAGAUACACUCUCCAGGAUGACAGCUGGCCUGCCAGAUGUCAUUGUAAAGGCCAUUCAGACUCAUUUUGCUGAUGUUCUUGAGAACAAGGAUGCCCUCCUGGCUGCUGUUAGCUGUCCACAGUUCAAGCUUCGCUGGGUGAGGGAUGACAGAAGACAGCGGCUGAAGGAGCUCCUCAUUGCAGAGUGUGGUACAGUUCCUCCAGUAGAUGGCAUCAUCUCUGGACCUGGAGACGAUUGAGGUGGAUCCUGACACUAAGCACACGCCCCAGCCUCUGGAAUGGCACACAUCUAUGUGAGAACUUUGGUGACUUGUUGGUCGCACAGCCGACCUGGGAUGAACUUCAAAACCCCCAGAGGUCUAUAGACCUUGGUGAUCUACCCCCUGCUAGGCUGAGCAGUUGCUGCUUGGAACAAGGGCUCCUGGGGGCGGUUCCUGCUGGAUUCUGUUCCUCCCAGCCUCUGCCAUCAGUGAGCUGUUAUGAUAGACUAUGGACCCUAUGGGUGCAUAGGAUAUAUCUAUGGAUAAUUUGGUCACUCCAGUUAAUGUCAGCAUGUUUGUGGUCUGGGGGAGAAUAUGCAAGAUUCUGUUCCUCCCAGUAAUUUUAAAAAAAUUAAUUCAAAGAAAAUACAUCAGGUAUAGGUAACUAACUAGACUAAUGGUUAGCACCGUCGUCUAAUGUCUGGGAUCUGGGUUCUCGUGGAUCCAUGCGUAUUUAAAUCAUGGGGUGCCACACCCAUGGAGCCAUGGUGGACUUGAACCCAGGUCCCAGAGGUGAGAGGCAACGGUGUUAACCACUAGUCUACCCACCCACUGUCCCUGCGAUGUAUUUUUUAAAAUUUAUUUUUUCACAAAUGCUACCUGUAAGGAUGAUUUAAAUACGCAUGGAGCCACGAGAACCCAGGUCCCAACCUACUGAGCCACACAUUCCUCCCAGUGAACCACUGCUUCUGCAGUUUAGCUUAAAACACUGGUUAAAUGUCUUAAACCAAAAAAACAAAAAAAAAAACACACAGAUGCACAGAGAAACAAGCUUAUGGCAGGUAAUAGUUCAAUAUAAAAUGUAUUGGAGCACCAAUACUAAAUAAGAACAUGAUUUUUUUUUUCUUCCAUUAUUUUUUUUUUAAAAAAGCCACAGAAUUCUCUACAGAAAGCAAAAAGAUCUUUGUACAGACAGAAGCAACAACUGAAUUCCUCAUCUGCAACACAAAACCUGCUCCAUUUCAAAACGGCAAAACGGAAACAAAGUAGCCCAGCUGCCAACUGCUAUAACCUAUAACACUAGAGUUACACAAAACAUACUUAACAUCUUAAACACAGGAUAUGUAAGAAAUGUGGGAAAAGUGCAAUACAGGUUUGACAACAACUCAUUUCCUGUUGGGGAUGGGGGUCAUUUUUCUCCUCAGCUUUAACAAAUGUUUUAGUAUCCUUAAGCAAAGUUUCUUACAGUAAUAUUAACAUUCGGGAAAUACACGUGGGGGGGUCACAAAGAAACUGAUUGUGAACACAUUUCUCCUUGGGUAAAAUGCCAAAAAUGAACCAGUUUGUAACAUGAAUGAAUCGUCCUGUUUUUAAAACAAUGAAACCACUUUA